Non-coding RNA from Triticum urartu, 134 nucleotides. The record is from Rfam. Lineage: Eukaryota; Viridiplantae; Streptophyta; Magnoliopsida; Poales; Poaceae.
AUACUACUCCCUUCGCCCGAAAAUACUUAUCUUCAAAAUAGAUAAAAGGGGAUGUAUUUAGAUGUAUUUUAGUUUUAGAUAUAUAUCUUUUUAUCCAUUUGAUGACAAGUAUUUUCAGACGAAGAAAGUAGUAC